This 360-nucleotide ribosomal RNA is filed under the name Triticum aestivum (bread wheat). RNAcentral describes it as "partial small subunit ribosomal RNA". The record is from RNAcentral. Lineage: Eukaryota; Viridiplantae; Streptophyta; Magnoliopsida; Poales; Poaceae.
AUGGCAAAGUAUUGGUGGUCAAGCUUGAUAGGUAAAAGGGCUCUCCACUGACUGUCUUGGGACAAACUAGCGUCACCAAAAAUCAAGGGUGGGAUGGGGUUCAAAGACCUCCCACUAUUCAAUCUGGCUAUGCUUGGCAAGCAUGGGUGGCACCUCCUGACCCACCCGAAUUCCCUUUGUGCUCGUGUGCUGAAGGGGAAGUUCUACCCUGAUAUGGAUUUUCUCCAUGCAACUAUCCCGGCGAGGGCAUCGGCGACGUGGAAAGCCAUUGUGGCGGGCAGAGAAGCAUUGGAGCAGGGACUGAUCCAUAGGAUAGGCGACGACACAAGCACUUCAACUUGGACCGAUCCUUGGAUCCCC